AAACGACUCUCGGUAACGGAUAUCUCGGCUCUCGCAUCGAUGAAGAACGUAGCGAAAUGCGAUACUUGGUGUGAAUUGCAGAAUCCCGUGAACCAUCGAGUCUUUGAACGCAAGUUGCGCCCCAAGCCUUCAGGCCGAGGGCACGUCUGCCUGGGUGUCAC
RNAcentral lists this ribosomal RNA (161 nucleotides) under Odontarrhena penjwinensis. RNAcentral's name for it is "5.8S ribosomal RNA". It matches the Rfam family "5.8S ribosomal RNA". Rfam says of the family: 5.8S ribosomal RNA (5.8S rRNA) is a component of the large subunit of the eukaryotic ribosome. It is transcribed by RNA polymerase I as part of the 45S precursor that also contains 18S and 28S rRNA. Lineage: Eukaryota; Viridiplantae; Streptophyta; Magnoliopsida; Brassicales; Brassicaceae. The record is from RNAcentral.